Molecule: non-coding RNA, 31 nt
Filed under: Mus musculus (house mouse)
Lineage: Eukaryota; Metazoa; Chordata; Mammalia; Rodentia; Muridae
Source: RNAcentral
UGGAAAGUCCACGUUUUUUUGCCAACAGCUU